AGUGAACGCUGGCGGUAGGCCUAACACAUGCAAGUCGAACGGCAGCACAGUAAGAGCGUGCUGUUAUGGGUGGCCAGUGGCGGACGGGUGAGGAAUACAUCGGGACCUACUUUUUCGUGGGGGAUAACGUAGGGAAACUUACGCUAAUACCGCAUACGACCUACCGGUGAAAGCAGGGGAUCUUCGGACCUUGCGCGAUUGAAUGAGCCGAUGUCGGAUUAGCUAGUUGGCGGGGUAAAGGCCCACCAAGGCGACGAUCCGUAGCUGGUCUGAGAGGAUGAUCGGCCACACUGGAACUGAGACACGGUCCAGACUCCUACGGGAGGCAGCAGUGGGGAAUAUUGGACAAUGGGCGCAAGCCUGAUCCAGCCAUACCGCGUGGGUGAAGAAGGCCUUCGGGUUGUAAAGACCUUUUGUUGGGAAAGAAAAGCAGCAGGUUAAUACCCCGCUGUUCUGACGGUACCCAAAGAAUAAGCACCGGCUAACUUCGUG
Molecule: ribosomal RNA, 492 nt
Filed under: uncultured bacterium
Lineage: Bacteria
Description: partial 16S ribosomal RNA
Rfam family: Bacterial small subunit ribosomal RNA
Source: RNAcentral